AGGACGAACGCUGGCGGCGUGCUUAACACAUGCAAGUCACGGGGGCCCGCAAGGGUAACCGGCGAACGGGUGCGUAACACGUGAGCAACCUACCGAGAUCUGGGGGAUAGCCGGCCCAACGGCCGGGUAAUACCGCAUACGCUCUUUCCACGGCAUUGUGGAUUGAGGAAACCGUCCGGGGGAUUUCGAGGGCUCGCGGCCUAUCAGCUAGUUGGCGAGGUCACGGCUCACCAAGGCGACGACGGGUAG
Molecule: ribosomal RNA, 249 nt
Filed under: uncultured soil bacterium
Lineage: Bacteria
Description: partial 16S ribosomal RNA
Rfam family: Bacterial small subunit ribosomal RNA
Source: RNAcentral